Molecule: ribosomal RNA, 251 nt
Filed under: uncultured bacterium
Lineage: Bacteria
Description: partial small subunit ribosomal RNA
Rfam family: Bacterial small subunit ribosomal RNA
Source: RNAcentral
AGAAUCAACGCUGGCGGCGUGCCUAACACAUGCAAGUCGAACGAGAAAGUGGAGCAAUCCAUUAGUAAAGUGGCGCACGGGUGAGUAACACGUGACUAACCUACCCUUGAGUGGGGGAUAACCUAGGGAAAACCUGGGCUAAUACCGCAUAAUACCUUCGGGUCAAAGGAGCAAUUCGCUUAAGGAGGGGGUCGCGGCCGAUUAGUUAGUUGGCGGGGUAAUGGCCCACCAAGACGAUGAUCGGUAUCCGG